This 481-nucleotide ribosomal RNA is filed under the name uncultured bacterium. RNAcentral's name for it is "bacterial SSU rRNA". It matches the Rfam family "Bacterial small subunit ribosomal RNA", at positions 27 to 507 of the family's 1533-position model. The record is from RNAcentral.
GGACGAACGCUGGCGGCGCGCUUAACACAUGCAAGUCGAACGGAAGAGACCGGAAUGAAGUUUCGACAGAAUGAAGGUCAAUUUAGUGGCGGACGGGUGAGUAACACGUGAGUAAUCUGCCUAUCAGAGGGGGAUAGCGUUUGGAAACGAACGAUAAUACCGCAUAAGCCGGGAACGCCGCAUGGCGAAACCGGAAAAGGAGCAAUCCGCUAUGAGAUGGGCCCGCGGCGCAUUAGCUAGUUGGUGAGGUAACGGCUCACCAAGGCGACGAUGCGUAGCCGACCUGAGAGGGUGAUCGGCCACAUUGGGACUGAGACACGGCCCAGACUCCUACGGGAGGCAGCAGUGGGGAAUAUUGCACAAUGGGGGAAACCCUGAUGCAGCAACGCCGCGUGAGUGAUGACGGCCUUCGGGUUGUAAAGCUCUGUCUUCAGGGACGAUAAUGACGGUACCUGAGGAGGAAGCCACGGCUAACUACGUG